UUUGUAUUAUCAUCGAUUUUUUUAUUGAAUAAAGUGCUUUUUGCGAAUCAUGCCACUAACAAAAAAGCAAUUAUUAGCUGUUGUGUUAAUUAUGGAAAAUGAUGGUAAUACUGUGAAAAAGAAAAAAAAAGUUUGGCUGAAAGAAUGGUUAAAAAACAGAGACCAAGGUUCAGAUUUGAAUUUAUUAAGAGAGCUAAGAACAUCAAACCCUGAUGACUACCGGAAUUUUCCGAGAAUGAAUGAAAACACAAUCAAGUUGCUGAAAAAGUUUCCAAAUACAGAAAACGAAUGGAUGGAAAUCGGAAAGGAGUUUGAACAAAGAUGGAAUUUUCCAAACUGUGGCGGGAUUGGGGAUUGACGGGAAGCAUAUUCGAAUCAAAUGCCCACCCAAAACUGGAUCAUAUUACUACAACUAUAAACAUUUUUUUAGUAUCAUAUUGAUAGCUAUCGUAAACGCAAAUUAUGAGUUUAUUUACGCUAACGUUGGAACAAAUGGACGAAUGUCCUAUGGAGGAGUUAUCUAUUAGACAUCAUUUUAUAAAAAAUUAAACGAAGAAACCUUAAAUCUACCAAAACCAGAGCAAAAUGUUAAAAAUUUGAAUAAUGUUUUUGUUGCUGAUGAUGCAUGGACUGCAUAAAAAUAUCGUGAAACCUUUUCCGCAAAAUAAUUUAACUUACGAGCAAAGAGUACUUAGUUACCGUUUAUCACGUGCCAGGCGCAUUGUGGAAAAUGCUUUUGGGAUAAUGGCAAGUAGAUUUAGAAUUUUGUCAACAGAGAUAAAUCUAAUACCUGAAAAAGUUGAUAAAACUGUACUAGCUUGUUGCAUGCUUCACAAUUUCUUAAGGAGAGAAAGUAGCACUUACAUAAGCACUUUGUGCGUUGACUAUGAAAAUACAGAAAUAGGUGAUAGUGUAUAUGGAGAAUAUAGGAAUGAAUCUCAGUUGAUUCAUGGGCUAAAGAAUACCAACAGCAAGAAUUGCACAAAUGAUGCCAAACAAAAUAGAUGUAAUUAUAUGAAUUAUUUUAAUACAAUUGGUAUUGUACCUUGGCAAAAUAAAAUGUUGUAGAAAUAUAUGUAAUUAAUCAAUAGUUACCUCCGUAAGUCUUCAUCGCUUAUAUCAUUCGAAAUGUUUUUCCUGGUUUCCUCCUGAUCUGCUUUGAAGAGAAAUAAGUUGUAAUACCAUAAAGUGGGUUUAUAUUGUUCAGCUUCAUCACCGUCCAUUCCGGAUUUAACAUGUUUUAUUUUUUUCAACUCUCUUCGGAAGGAAGAACGUAGGGAUGAUUUUUUUUUUACAGCGUCCUUAGUCGCACUUUCGAUACUAAAUCGUUGGUGCACAUCAAUUAAUGCGGAAUUACCCUUCUCUUUUAGAAGUCGAUUGGAAUACUCAGGAGACUUGAUUUUCCACAAUGCAUUAUGUUCUUUAUAAAUAUGAAUAAACUCUGUUAUAAACUCAA
Molecule: long non-coding RNA, 1456 nt
Organism: Anthonomus grandis grandis
Lineage: Eukaryota; Metazoa; Arthropoda; Insecta; Coleoptera; Curculionidae
Exons: 2
Source: RefSeq, a predicted model, not a curated record